GGGAGUAACGGGCUGGAUUUGUACAGCCCUCUUGGGUGCAGAGGGAGCUGGCGCCGGCGGGGAGGAGCUUGUCAGCGGCUUGCACCACACCUGCGCCCCGACCCAACCUGUUCCCCAUCGGUUUGGGAGCCUCCCCUCAGAAGCUGGAGUGGAGAGGGGUCAGCUGGGGGAAGGUCCCUCCGGGAAUCCCAGCGAGGCCGGUCCUGGCCCCAGAGGCACUCUGGCAGGACCUCGCACCCCGUGGCAGCCCGAGCUCCGGGCGGCUCCCUGCCACCUGAGCAGUGUCCCGGGGGCCGGCUGGACUCCGUAGGGAGACCCCACGUCACCCCCUCACAGCUCCCGCACGCCUGCCCCCUCGUCGCGCCCCCCAGCUUGGGAGCCCCCGGCCCACCCCACCCCACCCCACCCCACCCCGCGCUCCGGCCCGGCAGGCCGCGCUGCCCCGAGGCCCUCGGCGCUUCCUACCUGGUGCGGUCGCAGCCCGGUGGCAUCGACGCCGGCCGGCCCGGCGCUGGCCCCGGAGUGGGUGCGCGGCGGCACGGGCUACCCGGGCGGGUUAUAUGGGCGCCGGGAGGGGAGGCGCCGCGGGCAGGGCCGGCCGCGGGCGUUAGCGCCUCGGGCCCCCGCCGGGCGGGAAGGCAGCGCGGGCGCUCAGCGCGGCGGGAGGAGCGCGGGCGGCGGCGCGGGGCCGGGGCAGAGGUGGCCGCCGGCGCCCCGCCCCCCCAGCUGGCCGCGCUCGAGUCGGGGUCCUGGGCGCGCUCGGCCCCGCCUCCUUCCCGCCGCCUUUUGGCGCGCGUCGCCCCCGCGGAGCCUGCUGGGCCGCCGGCCGGGCUGGACGCGGGCUGGGCGCCGGGGCUGUCCCCGCGGGGAUGGGGCUGCGGCCCUCCGCCAGCCUGGGGGCGCGGGCGGCGCGGGCGGGGGCGCGGGCGGGGGGCCGGGCGCAGCGCUCUCCGCGUCCCGAAGCCUCGCGUUCCCGCAGACGCCGCAUUUCCCCCGCACCCGGGCCGUCCUCCCGCCCGCACUGGCGCUCAGACUCCGGGGAGCGGGGGAAGCGCCAUCCUGGUCCGCGGGGUGUGCGCCCCGCCGCCGGGCACCGGGGUGAGGGUCGCGGCCCCAGGGCCAGGGGUUGGGCGCGGCCGUCUGCGCCGCGGCCGCUCGGGGGAACUCGGGGAGGGCGGGGCCGCCUCCAGGCCCCGCCCGGCAGUGCGGAUCGGCGGGGACGCUCUGGGAGAGGCUCCCGGGUCCCCGCCCGCGCUCUUCCAGGGCGGAGGUUGCGUCCCUCGGCCCCCGGGAGUAACUGGUGACCCGCACCCCGCUCCCUGCCCUGGCCGCCGCCUGCAGGCCCCGGCGCCGCUUUCUUUCCUGCGUUCGCGCAGGUACGUGGGGGUGUCCGCGGCCACACGUGGGUCGUGCCCUGGGAGCGCGUCUAGGCGGGUGUUCCCGGACCCGCGCGGGGCGGGGCCUCGGCCUGAGAACCCGACGCGCCCGACGCGUAACGAGAGGCCCUCGGCGGCCCCCGCGGCGCGCUGCCUUCCGGUGCUCGCGGGACCCGUUAUCCGCCUCCGGACCGCCGUCCCCGGGCCCGCGUGA
Molecule: long non-coding RNA, 1590 nt
Filed under: Canis lupus familiaris (dog)
Lineage: Eukaryota; Metazoa; Chordata; Mammalia; Carnivora; Canidae
Description: lncRNA (ENSCAFG00030002893.1)
Source: RNAcentral